This is a small nucleolar RNA of Varanus komodoensis (Komodo dragon), 121 nucleotides long. The record is from Ensembl. NCBI's taxonomy places the organism in Eukaryota, Metazoa, Chordata, Lepidosauria, Squamata, Varanidae.
UGGUCUCUACCAAGGCUGCUAGGAAAAACUAUUUCUGGUAUGCUGUGGACGGGACCAGAAAGUAACGCCUCCAGAUUCUUGUGCCGCUACUCUGGUAGCAUCAAAUCUGUUGGAAACAGUU